This 487-nucleotide ribosomal RNA is filed under the name uncultured bacterium. Its description in RNAcentral is "partial 16S ribosomal RNA". It matches the Rfam family "Bacterial small subunit ribosomal RNA", at positions 30 to 507 of the family's 1533-position model. The record is from RNAcentral.
AUUGAACGCUGGCGGCAUGCCUUACACAUGCAAGUCGAACGGCAGCACGGGUGCUUGCACCUGGUGGCGAGUGGCGAACGGGUGAGUAAUACAUCGGAACAUGUCCUGUAGUGGGGGAUAGCCCGGCGAAAGCCGGAUUAAUACCGCAUACGAUCUACGGAUGAAAGCGGGGGACCUUCGGGCCUCGCGCUAUAGGGUUGGCCGAUGGCUGAUUAGCUAGUUGGGGGGGUAAAGGCCUACCAAGGCGACGAUCAGUAGCUGGUCUGAGAGGACGACCAGCCACACUGGGACUGAGACACGGCCCAGACUCCUACGGGAGGCAGCAGUGGGGAAUUUUGGACAAUGGGCGAAAGCCUGAUCCAGCAAUGCCGCGUGUGUGAAGAAGGCCUUCAGGGUUGUAAAGCACUUUUGUCCGGAAAGAAAUCCUUGGCCCUAAUACGGUCGGGGGAUGACGGUACCGGAAGAAUAAGCACCGGCUAACUACGUG